Xylaria curta is the source of this 98-nucleotide non-coding RNA. Lineage: Eukaryota; Fungi; Ascomycota; Sordariomycetes; Xylariales; Xylariaceae. The record is from the annotation of a GenBank genome assembly.
UCCGAAUUGGUGUAGUGGCUAACAUUUGACGCUCUCAACUAUAUUGUAUGAUGUAGAACAGUUCCGUCAAGCCCGGGGUUCGAUUCCCCGAUUCGGAG